GACGAACGCUGGCGGCGUGCUUAACACAUGCAAGUCGAACGGAAAGGCCCUGCUUUUGUGGGGUGCUCGAGUGGCGAACGGGUGAGUAACACGUGAGUAGCCUGCCCUUGACUUUGGGAUAACUUCAGGAAACUGGGGCUAAUACCGGAUAGGAGCUCCUGCCGCAUGGUGGGGGUUGGAAAGUUUCGGCGGUUGGGGAUGGACUCGCGGCUUAUCAGCUUGUUGGUGGGGUAGUGGCUUACCAAGGCUUUGACGGGUAGCCGGCCUGAGAGGGUGACCGGCCACAUUGGGACUGAGAUACGGCCCAGACUCCUACGGGAGGCAGCAGUGGGGAAUAUUGCACAAUGGGCGGAAGCCUGAUGCAGCAACGCCGCGUGCGGGAUGACGGCCUUCGGGUUGUAAACCGCUUUCGCCUGUGACGAAGCGUGAGUGACGGUAAUGGGUAAAGAAGCACCGGCUAACUACGUG
RNAcentral lists this ribosomal RNA (468 nucleotides) under uncultured bacterium. RNAcentral's name for it is "partial 16S ribosomal RNA". It matches the Rfam family "Bacterial small subunit ribosomal RNA", at positions 28 to 507 of the family's 1533-position model. The record is from RNAcentral.